This 7037-nucleotide long non-coding RNA is filed under the name Lynx pardinus (Iberian lynx). The record is from RNAcentral. Lineage: Eukaryota; Metazoa; Chordata; Mammalia; Carnivora; Felidae.
CGAGGGGCAAUCUGUUCCAUGCCUCUCCUGUAGCCUCUGGUGGUUUAUUGGCAACCUUUGGUGUUACUAGGCUGUAGACACAUCACCCUGACUUCUGCCUUCAUGUUCAUGUGACGUUCUCACUGUGUGGUUGUCUGCCUCUGUGUCCACAUUUCCUCUUUGUGAGGACACCAGUUCUAUGGGAUUAGGACUCACCCUAAUGGCCUCCUAUUAACUAAUUACAUCUGUAAUGACCCCAUUUCCAAAUAAGGUCACGUUCUGAGAUAUUGGUUUUUGUGGGACACAAUUCAGCCCAUGAGAAGCUCUGACACUUUGCUAUUAAAUGUAUUUGCCACGAUAACCUUUACUAGGUAAGUUCUUUUCCAUUUCCAGCUUGCUUAAAAGCUGUUAUCAUAGAUGUUAACCUUUAGUCAAUGUUUUUAUGUACUUAAUGAGAUUUACUAUAUGGCUUUUCAUAAUCUGCAGUGAUUUAUUCUAAUAGCUUUUCUAUUUUAGUCCAUGCCUGACUUUUCAGAAUAAACCCAAAUUGAUCAUGAUUUUAAUACAUUAUUGCUAAUAAUAUUUUAGAAGACAGUUUCUGCAUCUAUGUUCAUAAGAAAGAUUGGCCUAUAAGGUUUAUUGUUGUUAUUAUUGUUACUGGAUUGCCUUUGCUUUUAAUAUUGUUAAAAUGGCCCCAUGAAGUGAGGUGGGGACUAUGACAGAGAUUGUUAGUUGUUUCACGUUGGGAUGUUGAAAAUGUUCUGGAGAUGGAUGGUGAUGAUGGUUGCAUGACAGUAUGAAUGUACUUCAUGCCACUGAACUUACACACUUAAAAAUGGUUAAAAUGGUGUGGUGCCUGGGUGGCUCAAUUGGUUAAGCAUCUGACUUCCUUUUUUUUUUUUUUUGGCCCAGGUCAUGAUUUCAGAGUUCAUGAGCUCAAGCCCUACGAUGGGCUCAGACAGCAUAGAGUCUGCUUGAGAUUCUUUCUCUCUCUCUCUUUCUCAAAAUAAAUAAAAAUUUUUAAAAAAUAGUUAAAAUGGUAAAUCCUAUGUUAUGUAUGUUUUACCACACACGCAUACAAAAACCCUAUCCACAGCUAACAUCCUACUUAACGAUGAAGGACUAAAAGCUUUCCUCUUAAGAUUGUGAAUAAAACAGGCACGUUUGUUCUUGCCAUCCUUAUUCAGCAUUGUACUGGAGAUUCCAGGCAGGGCAAUUAUGAAAGAAAAAGGCAUCUAGAUUAGAAAGGAAAAAAUAAAACUGCCUCUAUUUAAAGAUGACAUGGGGCGCCUGGGUGGCUCAGUCGGUUAAGCGUCUGACUGUUGAUCUCAGCUCAGGUCUUGAUCUCAGUGUUGUGAGUUCAAGCCCCUCAUUGAGCUCCAUGCUGGGUGUGAAGCCUACUUUAAAAAAAAAAGUGACCUGAUUUAUAUAUAGGAAAUUCUAAAGACACACACACACACACACACACACACACACACACCUAAUAGCUGAUAACCAAAUUCAGCAAGGUUUCAGGAUAUAAGAUUAAUGUACAAAAAUCAUUUGUAUUUCUGUACACUAACAGUGAAAAAUUUGAAAAUGAAAUUUAGAAAACAGUUUCAUUUACAGUAGUAUCAAAAAGAAUUCUUAGGGAUUAUCUUUUUACAGAGAAGUACAGGACUUAUCCACUGAAAACCACAAAAUAUUGUUGAAAGAAAUUAAGGAAGACCUAAAUAAGUAGAAAGACAUCCCAUUUUCAUGGAUUGGAAGACAAUAAUAAGAUGGCACUACUCCCCAAAUUGAUCUAAAAGUUCAACACAAUCCCAAGCAAAAUCCCAGAUGCCUUUUUUUUUUUUUUUUAAAGAAAUGGACAAGCAGGGGUGCACGGGUGGCCAGGCCAGUUGAGCGUCUGACUCUUGAUAUCAGCUUGGGUUAUGAUCUCAACACGUUCAUGAGUUUAAGCCCCACAUCAGGUUCCAUGCUGACAGUGCAAAGCCUGCUUGCGAUUCUCUCUCUGUCUCAAAAUAAGUAAACUUAAAAAAAAGGACAAGCAGAUUUUAAAAUUCAUAUGGAAUUGCAAGGGACCUUAAAUAGCCAAAACAGUCUUUAAAAAGAUCAAAGAUGGAGAAGUCACAUUUCCCUAUUUCAAGCCUACUACAAAUCUACAAUAAUCCAGAUAGUGUGCUAUUAGCAUAAGGAUAAACCUGUAGAUCAGUGGAAUAGAAUCGAGAUUCCAGAAGUAAACUCAUCAACUAUGGCCUAUGGAUUUUCAACAGAAGUCCCAAGAUCACACAAUGGGGAAAAGAUGAUUUCCACAAAUGGUGCUCAAAAAACUGAAAAUCCACAUGCAAGAGAAUGAAUUAGAUCCCUGCCUUAUACCAUAUACAAAAGUUAACUCAGUGGAUACAAGGCCUAACUGUAAGAGCUUAAGUCAGAAAACUCUUAAAACAUAGGUGUAAAUCUUUGUGACUUUGUAUAAUGCAAUAGUUUCUUAGCUAUGACAUCAAAAGCACAAGCAACAAAAUAAAAAAUAGAUCAAUUGAACUAUACCAAAGUGAAAAACUUUUAUGUGUCAAUAUGUAUAUCAAGAGAGUGAAAAGACAAUACACAGAGUGGGAGAAAAUAUUUACAGACUACAAUUGGAUAAAGGUCUAGUAUCCAUGAUAUAUAAGGAAUUCUUACAACCUAAAAAUUAAAACAGCCUAAUUAAAAAUGGCGAAAGGUAUUGAAGAGACCUUCUCCAACAAAGAUCUACAAAUGGCCAGGAAGUACAUGAGAAGAUGCUCAACAUCAUUUGUCAUUAGAGAAAUGCACAUCAAAACCACAGUUAGAUACCACUUCACUCCUACUAGGAUUGCUGUAAUGAAAAAAGACAAUACAAGUGUUAGUGAGAAUGUGGAGAAACUGGAACAUUGCUGAUAGGAAUGUAAGGUGGUGCAUUUGCUUUGGAAAAUAGUUGGAUGGUUCCUCAAAACAGAAUUAUCAUAUGAUGCAGCAAUCUACUCCUAGAUAUAGAUCCAAGAGAACUAAAAACAUAUGCUCCAACAAAAACCGGUACAUGAAUAUUCAUAACAGAAUUACUCAUAAUACUCCAACAGUGGGAACAACCCAAAUGCCCGUCAACUGAUACAUGGAUAAACAAAAUAUGGUAUAUUCAUACAAUGCAAUAUUAUUUGACCAUAAAAACAAAGGAUGUUCAUAAAAACAAAUGCUACACAUGGAUGAAAUCUUGAAAACAUGCUAAGUGAAAGAAGCCAGACACAAAAGGUCACAGAUUAUAUAAUUCCAUUCAUAUGAAAUGUCCAGAAUAAGCAAAUCCAUAAAGGCAGAUUAGUGGUCACUGGGGAGCUAGGGGGAGCUGAGGGGAGAGGGGAAUCAGGAGUGACUGUUUCAUGGAUAUGAGGUGAUUUUUUGUUAAGUUUUUUUAAUGUUUAUUUUGAUUUUUGAGAGAGAGAGAGAGUGCGAGUAGGGGAGGGGCAGAGAGACGGAGACACAGAAUUCAAAGCAGGCUCCAGGCUCUGAGCUGUCAGUACAGAGUCCGAUGCGGGGCUCAAACCCAUGGACCAAGAGGUUAUAACCUGAGCCAAAGUCAGACGCUUAACUGACUGAGCCACCCAGGCCCCCCAAUAUGGGGUGAUUUUUGAGGAUGAUGAAAAUGUUCUGCAGUUAGUUAGUGGUGAUCGUUGCUCAUAUUUACGAACAAUCUAAAACCCACUAAAUUGUACACUUUAAAAUGGUGAACUUCACCGAAGAGAUUAUAUAGAUGAAAAGUGAGCACAUGAAAAUAUGUUCAACAUAUUAAGGAAAUGCAAUUUAAAGCCAUUGUGAUAGGGGCACCUGGGUGGUUCAGCCAGUUAAGCGUCUGACCUUGGCUCAGGUCAUGAUCUCACGGUUCGUGGGUUCGAGCCCUGCGUUGGGCUCUGUGCUGACAGCUCAGAGCCUGGAACCUGCUUCAGAUUCUGCGUCUCCCUCUUUGCCCCUCCCCUACUCACACUCUGUCUCUCUCUCUGUCUCUCUCUCUCUCAAAACUAAGUAAACAUUAAUAAAAAAUUAAAAAAAUAAAGCCAUCGUGGUAAGAAAGAGGAGCCCAAAGAGAUAGGAUGCCUAAAUGUUAUAUGAUGUCUGAGAAGGGAUCCUGAAACAGAAAAAGGACCUUCGCAAAAAUCUAAGGAAAUCUGAAUGAAGUAUGGAGCUUAGUUAAUAAUAGUGUGUGAGUUUUGGUUCAUUAGUUGUCCCAAGUGAACCAUGUUAAAAAGGGUUAGUUUGGGGGGAUGAUGAAGCCGUUCUUCAUCUUGACUGUGAUUAAUCUAUACAUGUGUUAAAAUUCAUAAAAAUGCACAACAAAAAUAGUGAAUUUUACUGAAUGUUUUUUUUUUUUUUUAAAUUUUUUUUUUUUUCAACGUUUAUUUAUUUUUGGGACAGAGAGAGACAGAGCAUGAACGGGGGAGGGGCAGAGAGAGAGGGAGACACAGAAUCGGAAACAGGCUCCAGGCUCUGAGCCAUCAGCCCAGAGCCCGACGCGGGGCUCGAACUCACGGACCGCGAGAUCGUGACCUGGCUGAAGUCGGACGCUUAACCGACUGAGCCACCCAGGCGCCCCAUUGAAUGUUAAUUAAAAAAAAAAUAAAAUGUUUAAAUGGCUUGGAGGAAUUGGAGAGUAACUAAGAAUCAGUAGAACCCAGACAUUUGAUCCUUGAAAGACGUGAACUGCACUGGAUGAGAUCUGUUUCCAAAACUUUCUCCUUAGGACGCUCCCCAGUCCGCAAGGUGUGGGAUGGCUAGAACUCAUGCAGAAAGCCACAGACUUCUUGGCUUGAGAUAGAAGUGGACUUGGUAGGGGAGGGGCGGGGGGAUGGGUGAAGGUAGUCGAAAGGUACAAACUCCCAGUUAUAAAAUAAUAAGUCCUGGGAAUGUGAAGUACAUAUGGCAACUAUAGUUUUUUACGAAAAGAUAUUGGUGGAUAAAGUUCAAUGCUGUCAGAGCAGCCGGAUAUUGAGGGAGAAAACCCAGAGAGGAGGAAGCUGAAGAGAAGAAAUCCCCUAAAUCUGCGUAUGAAAUCCCUCAAUUCCUUGUCCAGUGGAAAGCAACAGCUCAAAGGCAGGAAGCAAAAGGCAGAUAUUUCAACUGCUGCCUGCCACAAGAGAGACAGAAUUUGUAGUUUGAUUUUCAUAAACUCAGAAGAGCUUGGACUGUCCACUGAAAUCCCAAAAGGGCCAUGUUCUGGAAGACCAAGUGGCAGGACUAAGAAAUUCACUUUAAUAAUAAUGGGGAAACUUAAACUCACCAUGACGAAGGUUGAACCAAAACUAUACAAAUACAAGGUCAAGUUCAAGCUAUUUUUUUUAAUUUCAAUGCUUUUCUUUUUAAGUGUUUAUUUUUGAGAGAGACAGAAGUGAGCAGGAGAGGAGCAGAGAAAGAGGGAGAUACAGAAUCUGAAGCAGGCUCCAAGUUGUCAGCACAGAGCCCAAUGCAGGGCUUGAACUCACAAACCAUGAUCAUGACCUGAACCGAAGUCAGACACUUAACCGACUGAGCCACCCAGGUGCCCCAAGUUCAAGUUACUAAUUUGACUGUCUACUAAUACAAAAAUCAAUGUUCUUCAGAAGAUAAAAGAAUCCAGAAUCCGUAUAAUGUAUCAUCCCCAAUGUCCAGUAUAGAAUUUUUUUAAAUCCUAGACUGCUCCCCCCACUGCAAAUGUAAUUCAGUGUUAAUAGAAAGGUCAGACAGUAGCAGUAAAUACUAAGACCACCCAAAUGUUGGUGGGGGAGGGGUGUCUUUGAAGCAGCUAUUAUAAAUAUCUACAAAAGAGUUUAAGGAAAAGAGUGCUAAUGAAUACAUGAAGGAGAAAUCUUAAUACAGAAAAAAAUACUUAAAAAAUAGAAAUCAAGAACUGAAAAUAAAAUUAAAAAUUCAGUGAGUGAGUUUAACAGCAAAUUAAUGAUGUCCAAAGAAAGGGUCAAUGAAAGAAAAUAUUGAGAAGAGACUGAGAAAAAAAUAUUGAAGAAAAAUGACCUAUUAAUAUUUAGGUGAUGGCAUUAAUUGGAGCUCCGGGAGGGGAGGAGAAAGGAAACAGGGUAGAAAAAAUGUGAUGAAUUAAUGGCUACAUAUAUAUGUAUGUAUGCAUAUAUAAUUUGUUUCCCUAUAUCUUGUAGACAAAAAAUUUCAGAUUCAAAAUCUCAGGGAAGCAUAAGAUAGGUAAAUAUGAAUAAAACCACUCUUAGGCAUGUCACAAUCAAACUGUUGAAAAGAGAGAUAAAGAGAAAAUAUUGAAAGUGGCCUAAGAUGACAACCACAUGACAUGUUGGAGAACAAUGUUUUCCGUUCUCAUGGACUUCUCACCUGAAACCAUGAAGGUCAGGCGAUAGUGGGGGAAUCUUCAAAGUUCUGAAAGAAAAACCCAUUAAUACGGAAUUCUGUAUCCAAUAGGAUGAAUGAAAAUGAUAUCAGAGAAAACCUCAGACCGUCAUGAAUGAAUAAAGAGGACAAACAAAAACCAGAACAGUUCCAGUGGCUACCAGAGAAGAGGUGGAUGGAAGGAUGGGUGAAAUAGAUAAAUGCAAUUAAGAGUACUCACCUUGACGAGCCCUGAGAAAGGCACAGAAUCGUCAGAUCAUCAUGUUGUACGCCUGAAACUAAUAUAACAUUGUAUGUUAAAUAUACUUCAAUUUGGUAUAUGUCUGAGUAGAUAUAGAAGACUACUUUGUCUUCCUUCUCUAAAAGGACACUUUUUUUUUUUUAAUGUUUAUGGAUUUCUUUUGAGAGACUACGCGCAUGUGCAUGUGCUGUGCUGUCAACCAGAGCCCUGUGCAGGGCUCGAUCUCACAAAGUGUGAGAUCAUGACCUGAGCCAAUAUCAAAAGUGGGAUGCUUAACCGACUAGGCCACCCGAGACGCCCCAAGAUAGGACACUUUAAAGCAAAAAUUAUAACAUUACCUUGUGGCUUAUAAAGUAUGUAAGUAUAAAGUAUGUAAAGUAUAACAUGUAUAACAAAUACAGCAUAAAAAAUAAAGUAGGGGGGGGCGCCUGGGUGGCGCAGUCGGUUAAGCGUCCGACUUCAGCUCAGGUCACGAUCUUGCGGU